This 497-nucleotide ribosomal RNA is filed under the name uncultured bacterium. RNAcentral's name for it is "partial 16S ribosomal RNA". It matches the Rfam family "Bacterial small subunit ribosomal RNA", at positions 28 to 507 of the family's 1533-position model. The record is from RNAcentral.
GAUGAACGCUGGCGGCGUGCCUAAUACAUGCAAGUCGAGCGAACAGACGAGGAGCUUGCUCCUCUGACGUUAGCGGCGGACGGGUGAGUAACACGUGGAUAACCUUCCUAUAAGACUGGGAUAACUUCGGGAAACCGGAGCUAAUACCGGAUAAUAUAUUGAACCGCAUGGUUCAAUAGUGAAAGACGGUUUUGCUGUCUCUUAUAGAUGGAUCCGCGCCGCAUUAGCUAGUUGGUAAGGUAACGGCUUACCAAGGCAACGAUGCGUAGCCGACCUGAGAGGGUGAUCGGCCACACUGGAACUGAGACACGGUCCAGACUCCUAAGGGAAGCAGCAGUAGGGAAUCUUCCGCAAUGGGCGAAAACCUUACGGAGCAACGCCGCGUGAGGGAUGAAGGUCUUCGGAUCGUAAAACUCUGUUAUUAGGGAAGAACAAAUGUGUAAGUAACUAUGCACGUCUUGACGGUACCUAAUCAGAAAGCCACGGCUAACUACGUG